UAGUAGAGCACCUUGAAUAUGCUGUUGUCUGGAUCAGGAAUAUCUCAAAGAAUUUGACUUGUUUGUCCUUUAUUCUGGCACGAAUAAUAUUGGCCGUGACACAUUGAUGCGUAUUCUUUUCCUUUGCUAGUGAGUUGUGAGGUGGAUAAAAGUUCUUCUGUCCAACGAAUAGCAGUGCCGAAUAGGAUAUUAAAAGUACUCAAUGAUCAAAAAGGACCUAAAAGUGGACAUCCAAGCCAUCUUGGAUGAAAUUUCUUAGCCACAAAGUUCUUACCUACAUUUCCAUUUUAUUCCUUGAUAUGCAGGACAAUUACUUCACAUCAGAAAAGUAUUUUGCUUACAUGGUGCUUAUGAACUACCAUUUUUAGGAAAAAGUAUUGCAUCAGUGCUUUCCUAUCCUUUGAGAAGUGGACCUUUUAUUCUUUAUCUUCAGUGAUGGGUCAUUUAUUGUGCUGAAAGAGAAUCUGGGACAAACACUAGAUGAGGGAGAGGCCCUGGACCAAAAGAGUAUGUUCCAACAAAAGGAUGACCACAGUGGAAAGCAGAAAGCAGAAAGCAGAAUUGAGCUUCAAUUAUAUUGCACCAGCUCACAAUGUCAUAUACCGCCACUGAGCAUCCAGAGGUCGUUGGAUGAUUCAGCAACAACCAUGAAGCUGCUUCAUCUUCAUCUUCUUCAUCUAUAGUCGUAUCAUCUGCAUCUUGUGUUAAACUCAAGAACCCAUCAUCCUCCGUUCCUUCCCCCGUGGACCCACCAAUCAUCAUAGAAUCACUGCCAACAGUGUCAACAGCUGGAGGACCAUAAAGGGUUCCUGGAGAUUGGAAUCAGAGCCAAAUUUAGAAUUUAAGUUUGAUGAGUUCAAUUUUUAUGUUUUUUAUUAUUUAAAACAUUACACUUUUGAUAUUAUGGUUUAGAAGCCAUAUAUAAUGAAUUUUUUGUUAUUUUUCUCAUGUAGGAGUAUAUAUGGUCUGUGUGAAGAAAAAUGGUGGCUACCUGGAAUGGGAAUAAUUGGGAUACGGUGGUGACGAUGUGCCAAGGGGUUGGCAGAAUGGAUGUCAGCAUCGCAGGAGGCACAAAGUGAGGCAGCAUCCGCCUUGCAAAGAAAGGCUGCAGGGGCACACUCGCAGGCCUCACAAACCCACACACGCUUGUGACGAGAAGCCACCAGACUUGCUGCAUGUAUGCGGGCGUCACAGCCUGCACACAAAUAGGCAGAAUCCGCCUGGCAGUAAAUGGUACAGACUUAUGGGGCACUGUGGAAUAUGAAGGGGGAAAGUAGGGAGAAUAACAGUAGGCAACUAUCAAGUGGGGAGAGAAUCCAAGGGCAACAUGUGGAGGGAAGUUAAUGGGUAGGAAAAGUUUUUUCAUUAUCUUGUGGUGGCUGG
Long non-coding RNA from Solanum verrucosum, 1383 nucleotides. RefSeq lists it as uncharacterized. The transcript is spliced from 4 exons. The record is from RefSeq and is a predicted model, not a curated record. NCBI's taxonomy places the organism in Eukaryota, Viridiplantae, Streptophyta, Magnoliopsida, Solanales, Solanaceae.